GCCUCUAUGGCGCAGUGGUAACGCGUCGCACUUGUAUUAGAACAACAAUAUGCAAUGCGAAGAUCCUGGGUUCAACUCCCAGUGGAGGCA
This 90-nucleotide transfer RNA is filed under the name Macrophomina phaseolina. RNAcentral describes it as "tRNA-Thr". It matches the Rfam family "tRNA". From Rfam's summary of the family: Transfer RNA (tRNA) molecules are approximately 80 nucleotides in length. Lineage: Eukaryota; Fungi; Ascomycota; Dothideomycetes; Botryosphaeriales; Botryosphaeriaceae. The record is from RNAcentral. RNAcentral also lists the same sequence under 1 other name.